RNAcentral lists this ribosomal RNA (470 nucleotides) under uncultured bacterium. RNAcentral describes it as "bacterial SSU rRNA". It matches the Rfam family "Bacterial small subunit ribosomal RNA", at positions 355 to 825 of the family's 1533-position model. The record is from RNAcentral.
UGGGGAAUUUUGGACAAUGGGCGCAAGCCUGAUCCAGCCAUGCCGCGUGCGGGAAGAAGGCCUUCGGGUUGUAAACCGCUUUUGUCAGGGAAGAAACGCUCUGGGCUAAUACCCUGGGGUAAUGACGGUACCUGAAGAAUAAGCACCGGCUAACUACGUGCCAGCAGCCGCGGUAAUACGUAGGGUGCAAGCGUUAAUCGGAAUUACUGGGCGUAAAGCGUGCGCAGGCGGUUAUGCAAGACAGAUGUGAAAUCCCCGGGCUCAACCUGGGAACUGCAUUUGUGACUGUAUAGCUAGAGUACGGUAGAGGGGGAUGGAAUUCCGCGUGUAGCAGUGAAAUGCGUAGAUAUGCGGAGGAACACCGAUGGCGAAGGCAAUCCCCUGGACCUGUACUGACGCUCAUGCACGAAAGCGUGGGAGCAAAAGGGAUUAGAUACCCUGUAGUCCCUGAGCGGGCUGGCAAGGCGCAU